Molecule: transfer RNA, 67 nt
Filed under: Manacus vitellinus (golden-collared manakin)
Lineage: Eukaryota; Metazoa; Chordata; Aves; Passeriformes; Pipridae
Rfam family: tRNA (bases 6-63)
About the family: Transfer RNA (tRNA) molecules are approximately 80 nucleotides in length. Their secondary structure includes four short double-helical elements and three loops (D, anti-codon, and T loops).
Source: Rfam by way of RNAcentral
GUAAGUAGCUCAGUUGGUGAGAGCAUGGUGCUAAUAACACCAAGGUUGUGGUUUCAAUCCUCAUACA